This 53-nucleotide ribosomal RNA is filed under the name Intsia bijuga. Its description in RNAcentral is "partial 5.8S ribosomal RNA". Lineage: Eukaryota; Viridiplantae; Streptophyta; Magnoliopsida; Fabales; Fabaceae. The record is from RNAcentral.
GCAAGUUGCGCCCGAAGCCAAUAGGCCGAGGGCACGUCUGGCUGGGUGUCACA